Molecule: long non-coding RNA, 1062 nt
Filed under: Homo sapiens (human)
Lineage: Eukaryota; Metazoa; Chordata; Mammalia; Primates; Hominidae
Description: HSALNT0058669
Source: RNAcentral
AUAAAUUUACACAGCGGAAGUAGAAGACAAGAGGCCUCUGACUCAGGUCUCAAACUCCUAUGAAUCUUUAGCCUGCUGAGGUAUGUUCUUGCUCCAAGAGUUUUAGACUAAGUUUCCUCACCUGUCUAGACUGGUGUUCUGUGUCUACUUACUUGAGUCUUCACUGAUUCCUUGGAUCUGUUUUUUUUUUUUUUUUCCUCUGCACCUAUGAUGCCUGCCUGAUUCUACCAAUCUGGGCUAAACUUUGAAACUGACUCAGUGGCCUAUUCAGCCUAAGGCAUCUGCCAAGCUGCCCAGAUUUAGGUCCUGACCUCUCCUGGCCUGACUGACAUGCCACAAUAAAAAUCAUUAGAAGAAGAGCAUUGAUUUAAAGUGGAUAUAUUAGUCUGUGAUGUGAAGUGAGUCAAAAGAAAAGCUCAACUCACCAUACUUGAGUGACAAUCACCACCUUUAGCAAAUUCUCUGCUCCACAAGGCAUUUUUCUUUCUCCUACUCACUCAUUUGCCAUUUCCUGUCAUUCAUUCACAUGAUACUGAAUUGAAUACUACUUUGUGUCUGGCCUCAUCCUCACAGUGGGGGCGUUGAGGAGUGAAGGCAGCUUUCCACCUUUGAGGACAUUUGGGUCCAACAGAGUUCACAGCCCGCAUUCCCUCAUCUUGGAGUGACAUUGCACGUUUUGACAUAAACAUUAAAGCAACAAUAGCAAACUGAAAAAUUUCAUCUCAGUAGAUAGGACAGAGAGUAUCUUCAAAUAGUAUUUAUUGAACAGAUAAAUAUUGGUCAAGCUGUGUACCCAAAAUUUGGGGUGAUGGGUAAAAGUCCUGUAGGAGGAGGUUCUGUAGAAGUGAUUGCUGAGCCUUCUUCCUGCCCCCGCUCCUGUGUGGGGAGCCCCAAGUAGGAAUGAUGAGCAGGAGUCUGCCCAGUUCUGCCACAUGUGUGGGAUCUUGCUGCAGGGACUGCUGUAAACUGUGAAUUGUUUCCGUAGUUUCUACUAAAGUAGCAACAAAAAACACUGCCCAAGGGUUUGAGGGAGGAAUGAAAGUCUCUUUCUUGGGUGGAGUC